GAUGAACGCUGGCGGCGUGCCUAACACAUGCAAGUCGAGCGAUUCUCUUCGGAGAAGAGCGGCGGACGGGUGAGUAACGCGUGGGUAACCUGCCCUGUACACACGGAUAACAUACCGAAAGGUAUGCUAAUACGGGAUAAUAUAAGAAAUUCGCAUGUUUUCUUAUCAAAGCUCCGGCGAUACAGGAUGGACCCGCGUCUGAUUAGCUAGUUGGUGAGGUAACGGCUCACCAAGGCGACGAUCAGUAGCCGACCUGAGAGGUGAUCGGCCACAUUGGAACUGAGACACGGUCCAA
This 295-nucleotide ribosomal RNA is filed under the name uncultured bacterium. RNAcentral describes it as "partial 16S ribosomal RNA". It matches the Rfam family "Bacterial small subunit ribosomal RNA", at positions 28 to 334 of the family's 1533-position model. The record is from RNAcentral.